UGAACGCUGGCGGCGUGCCUAAUACAUGCAAGUCGAACGAGUUCUGAUUAUUGAAAGGUGCUUGCAUCUUGAUUUUAAUUUUGAACGAGUGGCGGACGGGUGAGUAACACGUGGGUAACCUGCCCUUAAGUGGGGGAUAACAUUUGGAAACAGAUGCUAAUACCGCAUAAAUCCAAGAACCGCAUGGUUCUUGGCUGAAAGAUGGCGUAAGCUAUCGCUUUUGGAUGGACCCGCGGCGUAUUAGCUAGUUGGUGAGGUAACGGCUCACCAAGGCAAUGAUACGUAGCCGAACUGAGAGGUUGAUCGGCCACAUUGGGACUGAGACACGGCCCAAACUCCUACGGGAGGCAGCAGUAGGGAAUCUUCCACAAUGGACGCAAGUCUGAUGGAGCAACGCCGCGUGAGUGAAGAAGGCUUUCGGGUCGUAAAACUCUGUUGUUGGAGAAGAAUGGUCGGCAGAGUAACUGUUGUCGGCGUGACGGUAUCCAACCAGAAAGCCACGGCUAACUACGUGCCAGCAGCCGCGGUAAUACGUAGGUGGCAAGCGUUAUCCGGAUUUAUUGGGCGUAAAGCGAGCGCAGGCGGUUUUUUAAGUCUGAUGUGAAAGCCCUCGGCUUAACCGAGGAAGUGCAUCGGAAACUGGGAAACUUGAGUGCAGAAGAGGACAGUGGAACUCCAUGUGUAGCGGUGAAAUGCGUAGAUAUAUGGAAGAACACCAGUGGCGAAGGCGGCUGUCUGGUCUGUAACUGACGCUGAGGCUCGAAAGCAUGGGUAGCGAACAGGAUUAGAUACCCUGGUAGUCCAUGCCGUAAACGAUGAAUGCUAGGUGUUGGAGGGUUUCCGCCCUUCAGUGCCGCAGCUAACGCAUUAAGCAUUCCGCCUGGGGAGUAGGACCGCAAGGUUGAAACUCAAAGGAAUUGACGGGGGCCCGCACAAGCGGUGGAGCAUGUGGUUUAAUUCGAAGCAACGCGAAGAACCUUACCAGGUCUUGACAUCUUUUGAUCACCUGAGAGAUCAGGUUUCCCCUUCGGGGGCAAAAUGACAGGUGGUGCAUGGUUGUCGUCAGCUCGUGUCGUGAGAUGUUGGGUUAAGUCCCGCAACGAGCGCAACCCUUAUGACUAGUUGCCAGCAUUUAGUUGGGCACUCUAGUAAGACUGCCGGUGACAAACCGGAGGAAGGUGGGGAUGACGUCAAAUCAUCAUGCCCCUUAUGACCUGGGCUACACACGUGCUACAAUGGAUGGUACAACGAGUUGCGAGACCGCGAGGUCAAGCUAAUCUCUUAAAGCCAUUCUCAGUUCGGACUGUAGGCUGCAACUCGCCUACACGAAGUCGGAAUCGCUAGUAAUCGCGGAUCAGCACGCCGCGGUGAAUACGUUCCCGGGCCUUGUACACACCGCCCGUCACACCAUGAGAGUUUGUAACACCCGAAGCCGGUGGCGUAACCCUUUUAGGGAGCGAGCCGUCUAAGGUGGGACAAAUGAUUAGGGUGAAG
RNAcentral lists this ribosomal RNA (1494 nucleotides) under uncultured organism. RNAcentral describes it as "SSU rRNA". It matches the Rfam family "Bacterial small subunit ribosomal RNA". The record is from RNAcentral.